CACACUCAGCAAGUCAGCCCGGUAACUUCAUCCGAAUCCAAAAUUGUCUGGUCCAACCACUAACUUCAUCCUCUUCUUCAUCCGAAUCCGACCACCACCACCGCCUAUCGUUCUCUCUCUAAGUUACUCAGAGACGAAGAGAGAAAAAACAUGAACUCCCGCUUCACGACCCUAGGCCGAACCCUAAAAUCGACCUCAAAAAAGCUCUUCUCAUCUUCCACCCAAUCCACAUCCACCAGUUCCCAAUUCCCUCAAACUCUAGCGGGGCUCCGAGCUCGAUUGGCCGCCGAAUCCCCCUCACUCACCGAUUUCGCCGAGGAUCUCAACUCCAAUAGCCCUUAUUCCGUCGAGGUUGGGACCAAGAAGAAUCCCCUUCCCAAGCCCAAAUGGAUGAAGGAGGCCGUCCCCGGAGGCCAGAAGUAUGUCCAGAUUAAGAAAAAGCUCAGGGAAUUGAAUCUCCAUACCGUGUGCGAGGAGGCUCGAUGCCCCAAUCUCGGCGAGUGUUGGUCCGGCGGUGAGACCGGCACUGCCACAGCCACGAUCAUGAUUCUCGGUGAUACUUGUACUCGGGGUUGCAGGUUCUGCAAUGUGAAGACUUCAAGAACGCCGCCUCCACCUGAUCCUAAUGAGCCCACCAAUGUGGCAGAGGCGAUUGCGUCGUGGGGGUUGGAUUACGUGGUGAUCACUAGUGUGGACCGGGAUGAUUUACCUGAUCAGGGGAGUGGUCAUUUUGCCGAGACGGUGCAGAAGUUGAAAGAACUGAAGCCAAAUAUGCUCAUAGAGGCAUUGGUUCCUGAUUUUCGAGGAGACAGCACGUGUGUUGAGAAAGUUGCAAGGUCCGGGCUAGAUGUAUUUGCUCACAAUAUUGAAACAGUUAAGGAGCUUCAGAAGGUAGUGCGGGAUCAUCGGGCAAAUUUUGAGCAAUCUCUAGAAGUUCUCGUGAUGGCUAAAGACCAAGCUCCUGCUGGAACGCUUACAAAGACUUCAAUAAUGUUAGGCUGCGGGGAAACACCUGAUCAAGUUAUGAAGACGAUGGAGAAGGUGAGAGCUGCUGGUGUUGAUGUGAUGACAUUUGGUCAAUAUAUGCGACCUUCCAAGCGUCAUAUGCCUGUUUCUGAAUAUAUUACCCCUGAAGCUUUUGAGAAGUAUCGCGUCCUCGGCAUGGAUAUGGGAUUUCGUUAUGUGGCUUCUGGUCCUAUGGUCAGGUCAUCAUACAAAGCAGGUGAAUACUACAUCAAGUCCAUGAUAGAAUCUGAUCGAGCUGCAUCCUCUUCUUAACUUUUCUCAAGUGACUAAGAGGUUCCUCACCCUUUUCUACCCUCUUGUACGUAAUUUUUUUAUUGUAUCAAUUCAUAAAUGGUGCCCUCGGGUCUAUUUGUACAACCAAUGAUUUACACAGGCUCGAGAUCACACACGGCCUCGUCAUUGUACAAUCGAGUUAUAGCUGUUGAUCUAAAGCAGACGGUUCAGGUUGAUAAAGAUCUUCAAAUCCGUGCAUAUUACGCAGGACAUGGAAAUUUCAUAACUGAAGUUCCUUGAGUCCUAAUUGUUUAAUAUCUGAAGGUUCUUGGAGCUGCAAUGUUCUAUGCAAAGGUAGGAGAUAGUGCUAUACUGUACACAGGAGACUAUAAUAUGACACCAGAUAGACAUCUUGGAGCUGCUCAAAUUGAUCGACUGCAUUUGGACCUUGUUAUAUCCGAGUCUACAUAUGCAACAACUAUACGUGACUCAAAAUACGGUCGAGAGAGGGAAUUCCUCAAAGCGAUUUUUGUCAUGUGUUGACAAUACUAUCAUCAAGCUGGAACUCUGCAUCCUGUUAGAAGAUUACUGGGAGCGAAUGAAUCUAAAGGUUCCUAUAUACUUCUCAGCAGGUUUAACUGUUCAAGCCAAUAUGUAUUAUAAAAUGCUUAUCAGUUGGACCAGCCAGAGGAUCAAGGAGACAUAUUUGACCCACAAUGCAUUUGAUUUCAAAUAUGUUAAAGAUUUUGACCGUUCAAUGAUAGAUGCGCCUGGACCCUGUGUUCUCUUUGCCACACCAGGAAUGAUAAGUGGUGGUUUUUUACUUGUGGUUUUUAAACAUUGGGCUCCUUCAGAAAUGAAUCUUAUUACACUGCCUGGGAAAGGAGGCUGGAAUAGGUGAUCGGGAACUUUGGAUCAAGAAGGGGAACAAAUCUGGAAAUAGCAUGUUGCUGUUCUAUUAAUGCUAUAGCAACCACAACGUAGCAAUCGGCAGGGACCAGUGAAGAAUCGUGACAAAUUCCAGCUGGACUUAAUGAAGAAUAAGUGAUGCCUAGGUGGCGAGGAUGUUGUACAAUGAGUCAGCUGGAUGGUGUGGCAGAGGACAAGAGGGCACAAUUGACUUUGACUUACUAAUUAGGGUAAACCAAGUACCCUAAAGAGGGGGCAGCCGAAAUAUUGCAGGGACGGAUCAUUUUUGGAGGAUUCUGACUAUUUUUUCACUAAGAAAAGUACAGAGAGAAGUAGAAAGAAAGAAAAAGAAGGGAGUACGAAAUAGGAGAGGAAAAAGAAGACAGACGCCUAAGGGGGACUAGAGCUCAACACUCAAUUCUCUCUAAUCUCUAUUUCUCUUUAAUUUUGUAUUAUUUUCUCAUCUCAAUUUCUGUUCAAACUCCAUGGAAAUAUUCUGUACUGGUUUUAUGUUUACAAUUUCAGCUAUGAACUAACACUCUAAAGAUUUGAGUGGUUAUGAACCCUUAUGUAUGAACUAAAUUUCUAAAUGCAUGGUGAAGUUGUUUA
Humulus lupulus (European hop) is the source of this 2757-nucleotide RNA transcript. It is a transcript of the gene named lipoyl synthase, mitochondrial-like, with no coding region annotated. NCBI's taxonomy places the organism in Eukaryota, Viridiplantae, Streptophyta, Magnoliopsida, Rosales, Cannabaceae. The record is from RefSeq and is a predicted model, not a curated record. The transcript is spliced from 11 exons.